GGCUCCGUGGCUUAAUGGUUACGGCUUCUGCCUCACAAGCAGAAGGUUCAAGGAUCAAAUCCCGGCCGGUACCU
Molecule: non-coding RNA, 74 nt
Organism: Culex pipiens (northern house mosquito)
Lineage: Eukaryota; Metazoa; Arthropoda; Insecta; Diptera; Culicidae
Source: Rfam